This 3752-nucleotide long non-coding RNA is filed under the name Bos grunniens (domestic yak). Its description in RNAcentral is "lncRNA (ENSBGRG00000010158.1)". The record is from RNAcentral. Lineage: Eukaryota; Metazoa; Chordata; Mammalia; Artiodactyla; Bovidae.
ACCGCGGGCACACAACCUGCCCGAGCCAGCAGCGAAGGGAGGAGGGUGGGUUAUGGAGGGCACCCACCCUUCUGGGCAGAAGAUGGGGUAGAUGGCGGGCGGGCGCCCCUCUUGAGGCUCCAAGAACUCCCUCCUUCCGAAGUCUGCCCGAACUCCAGCAUCCCUCCUCCCGGCCCUCCUCGGAGCUACGGUGGGGAAAAGGACUCGAAAGAUGGGGGAGCUGAGGGGUGGUGGUGGGGGCAGUUGCAGGCCUGGAGUGGUCCCGCCUGCACCCUGAGGGUUCCCGGAGUCAGGAAGAGAACAAUAGCGGACCCUCAGUCGCCCGAGCCCUCCGAGUCUCCCGCUCGCGCCUUCCUCCCCAGCUCCUCCAAGUUCAGCGCGGAGGCGGGUCGAGUCCAGAAUCGGGGACCUGGGGGAGCCAGACGCCGGGCGGACCGGGCAGACACUUGGCGGCAGGCGGGGAAAAGGGACUGGUGGCGGGACCCUCGCAGCCACUCCGCCCUGCGCGUCCUCCGCGCCUCCUACCCUCAUCGGAGCCCCAGACACAAGGCGGGGACCCGAGCUGAGGACCCCGCGCCGGGAAGCCUCCCAACUCCCGGCGCCGCGCACUCACCCCAUCUAGGCGGCGGCAGCGGCUCCCCGGGUCGGCCCCGCUGGCUGCGCAACCCCGCCCGCCGCUUCCCCAGGAAAACGCGGCCGCCGGGCUCGCUUCCUGCUCGGCUUCCUGCGCCUCGGUCCCUCCUCCUCCUCCUCCCCGCUGCGGGGUCCGUGGGCGCCGCGGCUCCCGGGCUGGGCCGGCGGGGCGGGGUGGCGGCAGCACCACCACGUGGCCGCCCGGCGCCGGCCCCCGCCGACCCGGAUCCCGCGGGAGCCGGGAGGGAGGUGCUAACCAUUCCCCUCCUCUUCCACCGCGCGCGGCCCCAGAUUCCGCGAGUCAGGUGAUCCGGCCCCGCGCUCCGGCCGCAACCUGCGGUAGGUGCUCCCGGCCCGCGCGCCCCAAGCGUCCGCAGCCUGCUUGUAGUUUUCCGCGGAUCGUGGAUUCUGCCCGGUGAAUCUGUUUGCAUCAUCGUCACCUGAAGCUAAUGGAAACCACCGGUGUUCCGACCCCGGAUUUUAGAACGGAUGAGAUACUGAAUAGUAUUCAUUUCUGGUUAACGUCCAAAGUCGUUUGUGGUCGUGUUGGUGUUUGCAAGUCACUAAUCCAAGCGCCUUCUACCCAGAAUCAAAUCGGUCAUAGUUUCCAAAAUUAUUGAACAGAAAGGAAACUAAAACCUGCUCAGAGUCUCUGGAUUGAACCAGUUGGUCGGAGCGACUGUUUCCUAACGUUCAUCAGGUGGCAAGAGAAAACUACCAGCGUUCAGCGCUGCUCGCGAGUUAGGAAGGAGACGCCUACUGUCUGAACUGAGAGGCACCGUGCGGAACGCCCUCCCUGUGGGGUCUGGAAUGCCGAGGGGCCCGGCCUCAGAGCCCCGGAGCUCCUCUCCCUUCCCCACCCCCCUGAGCCCCCUGCGUUUGAAUCGUAAUGGACUCUUGCUUCAACUCCCAAGGAUUUCAAAGCUCUCCUCCUCUCCAUUAAUUUGGGACGCCUUUGCGAUUCAUUCUGGUCAUGCCAACCAGCUAUGACUUUAAAAGUCUUUUCACCAAAGCCCCUGUGUUCUGUUAACUCCAAGUCCUUUGCAGGAAGCUUUCUGGAAAUAAAUAUGUGGUAUGAGUCCCUUUUUGGUGAGAUCAAAUCUAAAGCAAUUGAAUUUUUUAAAAAAUCCAAUACAAAUGAAAUUCAUCUAAGUUCAGUUUAUAAUGUCUUAAACAGAUCCCCACGACUACCAGUCGGACUUUAUCUGUACCCCUAGCCCCCCACUACCACCACCAGCAGCAAGCCAAAGGAACAGCCUGUCUUAGCUUUGACAGGUGACAUCAGAGACAACUAGCUGCGUGGUCUUCCCUUCCUAAAUCAUAGGUCAGCAAUUCCUUAGAGAAGUGAUGAAUAGCUGGUUUAAAGCAAGAUGUACACUCCUCUUCCUGUCUUUUAUCCCUCUCAAAUAAAAUCACCAUCUAAAAGACACCUGAACUGAUAAACUUCUUUUUGGUUUAAUGCUGGCAAUUUCCACAGUACAGUUAUUCAUUGCAGUUCACAUGAAUGGUGUAAUGUAGGGUAUUUAUUGGGAACAAUACUGCCACGUGUUGGUUUUCUGUUCCCCUUUCAGCAGGUCAGUCUCGCUGAACAGUGGCAGCUAGGAAGAUGUGCACUGGAGCUCACUGUCCUGUGCUGCCUUGAAAAGUUGUGUGCUGUGCGUAGUCGCUCAGUGGUGUCCAACUCUUUGUGAUCCCCAUGGACUGCAGCUCUCCAGGCUCCUCUGUCCAUGGGGAUUCUCCAGCCAAGAAUACUGAAGUGAGUUGCCCUGCCUUCCUCCACGGGAUCUCCCUGCCCCAGGGAUGGAACCCACCUCUUCUGCACUGCAGGCGGAUUCUUUACCACUAGCGCCACCUGGGAAGCCCCAGCUACAGAAUACGUACCACCUUCCACCAACCCAGGGAUUGAACCCUGAUCUCCCGCACUGCAGGGGGCGGGGUGGGGGUGGAGGGAGUGGGGGCUCUGGGGGGUUCUUUACCGUCUGACCACCAGGGAAGCCCGCCUUGGAAAGUUGACAUGUGUGUACUCUGUAGCUGGGGCUUCCCAGGUGGUGGUAGUGGUAAAGAACCUUGCCUGGAGAAUCCCACGGACAGAGAAGCCUGGUGAGAUACAGUCCCUAGGGUUGCAAAGAGUCCGACUGAAGCGAAUUCACACACACACACACACACACACGUUCUGUAGCUGAAGGAGUUAAAAUAGCAAACAAUAAUUGUGUAAGGCUUCCCUGAUGGCUCAGAUGGUAAAGAAUCUCCCUGCAAUGCCAGAGAUCCAGGUUCGAUCCCUGGGUUAGGAAGAUCUCCUGGAGAAGGGAAUGGCAACCCACUCCAGUAUUCAUACCUGGAGAUUUCCGUGGACAGAGGAGCCUGGCAGGCUACAGUCUAUGGUGCCGCAAAGAGUUGGAUACAACUGAGUGUUUAACACACACAGGGUCAUCAGCCUUUUAUUCAUAAAAUAAGAACAUUAUUCAUAGAAUAAAUUAUUUUUCUCUUUUACAUGACCAGACCCUGUCCCAGCCACUUGCCUGGGAGCCCACCCGCCUUUGUCAGCUCUGAAUGGUUCCCACAGGUGGCUCGUGUGCUUAUUCUCCUUAAUUUAUAAUCCCACCUUCUCCAUCACCAAGUCCAGCUCUGAGUGAGAGAUUGUUGUGGAGGAAAGGACUCUUAUAGUUAAUCCACUGUGCUAAGACCCUUUUCCAGAUCUCUGCCUCUGCUGAAACGCAGACCACCAGCUUCAGACCACAACAGAAGUUCUGCCACCUGUAGGGAGAUUGGUGGUCAAGUGUAUGUCUGAGCAGCGUUUUCUCAUUGGUUGUUUUCACCCAGACCUUUUAGAAAAUGCUGGUUGGGAUUGGGAUACAUUGAUGAGAGCCUCUGAAGGAGACCUGACCCAGGUGAAAGUGUUUGAGACAUGGAAGCAUCUCAACUGUAUAAAACUUUUUGGGGCUGUAAAUAGCAUGUUGAACUUCAAUAGGAGAAUAACCCACAAAUCAAAGUAACUAUGGUGUGAUAUAUAGUAUUAAGAGUAAGAAGAGCCAGGGGACCAGAUUUCCCAACCCUUCUGUUUGACUCACUUUUCAUUUGAACUUCACCACAUGUUUGGAUCUCUCCUGGGCCACUUUCCC